GACGAACGCUGGCGGCGUGCCUAACACAUGCAAGUCGAACGAGGUCCAUCCUUCGGGAGAAGACCUAGUGGCGAACGGGUGAGUAACACGUGAAGAACCUGCCCCGAAGACCGGGAUAGCCCUCCGAAAGGAGAGCUAAUACCGGAUACCCCCACCGAACCGCAUGGUUUGGUGAGGAAAUGGAUUCCGCUUCGGGAGGGCUUCGCGGCCUAUCAGCUAGUUGGUGGGGUAACGGCCCACCAAGGCAUCGACGGGUAGCUGGUCUGAGAGGACGAUCAGCCACACUGGGACUGAGACACGGCCCAGACUCCUACGGGAGGCAGCAGUGGGGAAUCUUGCGCAAUGGGCGAAAGCCUGACGCAGCAACGCCGCGUGGGGGAUGAAGGCUCUCGGGUUGGUAAACCCCUUUCAGCAGGGACGAAUCAAGACGGUACCUGCAGAAGAAGCCCCGGCUAACUACGUGCCAGCAGCCGCGG
This 476-nucleotide ribosomal RNA is filed under the name uncultured bacterium. Its description in RNAcentral is "bacterial SSU rRNA". It matches the Rfam family "Bacterial small subunit ribosomal RNA", at positions 28 to 520 of the family's 1533-position model. The record is from RNAcentral.